CCUACGGGUCGCACCAGUGGGGAAUAUUGCACAAUGGGUGCAAGCCUGAUGCAGCGACGCCGCGUGAGGGAUGACGGCCUUCGGGUUGUAAACCUCUUUCAGCAGGGACGAAGCGCAAGUGACGGUACCUGCAGAAGAAGCACCGGCCAACUACGCGCCAGCAGCCGCGGUAAUACGUAGGGUGCGAGCGUUGUCCGGAAUUACUGGGCGUAAAGAGCUCGUAGGUGGUUUGUCGCGUUGUUCGUGAAAACUCACAGCUCAACUGUGGGCGUGCGGGCGAUACGGGCAGACUGGAGUACUGCAGGGGAGACUGGAAUUCCUGGUGUAGCGGUGGAAUGCGCAGAUAUCAGGAGGAACACCGGUGGCGAAGGCGGGUCUCUGGGCAGUAACUGACACUGAGAGACGAAAGCUAGGGGAGCGAAUGGGAUUAGAUACCCGCGUAGUC
Molecule: ribosomal RNA, 445 nt
Filed under: uncultured bacterium
Lineage: Bacteria
Description: bacterial SSU rRNA
Rfam family: Bacterial small subunit ribosomal RNA
Source: RNAcentral